GACGAACGCUGGCGGCGUGCUUAACACAUGCAAGUCGAACGGUGAAGCGCCUUCCUUUUUGGUGGGUGUGGAUGAGUGGCGAACGGGUGAGUAACACGUGAGUAACCUGCCCCCUUCUUCUGGAUAACCGCAUGAAAGUGUGGCUAAUACGGGAUAUUCUGGGUCUGUCGCAUGAUGGGUCUGGGAAAGAUAUUGUUUCGGUGGGGGAUGGGCUCGCGGCCUAUCAGCUUGUUGGUGGGGUGAUGGCCCACCAAGGCGGUGACGGGUAGCCGGCCUGAGAGGGUGGACGGUCACACUGGGACUGAGACACGGCCCAGACUCCUACGGGAGGCAGCAGUGGGGAAUAUGGCACAAUGGGCGCAAGCCUGAUGCAGCGACGCCGCGUGAGGGAUGGAGGCCUUCGGGUUGUGAACCUCUUUCGCCAGUGAAGCAGGCCUGCCUCGUUUGUGGGUGGGUUGACGGUAGCUGGAUAAGAAGCGCCGGCUAACUACGUG
RNAcentral lists this ribosomal RNA (494 nucleotides) under uncultured bacterium. RNAcentral's name for it is "partial 16S ribosomal RNA". It matches the Rfam family "Bacterial small subunit ribosomal RNA", at positions 28 to 507 of the family's 1533-position model. The record is from RNAcentral.